Molecule: non-coding RNA, 101 nt
Organism: Mycena rebaudengoi
Lineage: Eukaryota; Fungi; Basidiomycota; Agaricomycetes; Agaricales; Mycenaceae
Source: the annotation of a GenBank genome assembly
ACCCUCGUAGAUGAAAUGGUACAUCACCCAUUGCACAUUAGUCGGUGCCCUGUGCCAACAAAAUUAAGUGGGAGGCGGAGGUUCGAAUCCUCCCGAGGGUA